GAGGGAGCUCUGGGGCAGACUUCCUGUUGUUGUUCCCUGGUACGGAGCACUCUCACUGGCAUGGGGAAAACGACCUGCACUGGUCAAUGCAUCAGAGAGCUUCUGGGUCAGCUGGCAGUGGAGGAACCAUCCGAAAAUGAAAUCCAGAAGGAGCUGUGAAGUCCCUGAGUUUUAGUAUUCUUCAAAGGUCAUUUGAGCUUUGCUUUCUCUGUGACAGGAGAAAAAAGAGAACGAAAGAGACUGACCAUCCAUCACUGCCUUUAUUCCUCUGUCCAAACCAGAGCAAACAUGUCUGUUAACAGAGAGCCAAGUGCUGACCAACAUUGCUUUGGCCUGUCGCCCUGUCGAUUCUAAAGAUCACACAGGUGACGCUCUGACUCUGAUGUUUGCACAAAGAGGACAGGUUAUGUGCUUUGUUGGUUUUUAUCCUCAUGUCAGUAAUGGAAUAGGAAUAGGAUCAUGUGAUGGGAAAUAAAAUAUCCCAGUCUUGAA
Long non-coding RNA from Electrophorus electricus (electric eel), 492 nucleotides. RefSeq lists it as uncharacterized. The record is from RefSeq and is a predicted model, not a curated record. Lineage: Eukaryota; Metazoa; Chordata; Actinopteri; Gymnotiformes; Gymnotidae.